AGGAGCCAUAUGAGGUGAAAAUCUCAUGUACGGUUCUGUAGAGUGGUAGUAAGGGUGACUUAUCUGUCAAAUUUUCCACUAUCAC
Molecule: non-coding RNA, 85 nt
Organism: Capsicum annuum
Lineage: Eukaryota; Viridiplantae; Streptophyta; Magnoliopsida; Solanales; Solanaceae
Source: Rfam